AACCAGGAGGUUGGCUUAGAAGCAGCCAUCCUUUAAAGAAAGCGUAAUAGCUCACUGGUCUAAUAGAAAUCCUGCGCCGAAGAUGUAACGGGGCUCAAACCACGUACCGAAGCUGUGGGUUACAUGCCGCAGCGGCAUGUAGCGGUAGCGGAGCGUUCCGUAGGCCUGCGAAGGUAUACCCGUGAGGGGUGCUGGAGGUAUCGGAAGUGCGAAUGCUGACAUGAGUAGCGAUAAUGCGGGUGAAAAGCCCGCACGCCGUAAGCCCAAGGUUUCCUGUUCAACGUUCAUCGGAGCAGGGUGAGUCGGCCCCUAAAGCGAGGCAGAGAUGCGUA
RNAcentral lists this ribosomal RNA (332 nucleotides) under Phaeomonas parva. RNAcentral's name for it is "partial Bacterial large subunit ribosomal RNA". It matches the Rfam family "Bacterial large subunit ribosomal RNA", at positions 1091 to 1413 of the family's 2925-position model. Lineage: Eukaryota; Pinguiophyceae; Pinguiochrysidales; Pinguiochrysidaceae. The record is from RNAcentral.